Molecule: ribosomal RNA, 253 nt
Filed under: uncultured bacterium
Lineage: Bacteria
Description: partial 16S ribosomal RNA
Rfam family: Bacterial small subunit ribosomal RNA
Source: RNAcentral
UACAGAGGUCCCAAGCGUUGUUCGGAUUCACUGGGCGUAAAGGGUGCGUAGGUGGCGGGGUAAGUUUGAUGUGAAAUCUCCGAGCUUAACUCGGAAAAUGCAUUGAAUACUAUCCCGCUUGAGGGUCGGAGGGGAGACUGGAAUUCUCGGUGUAGCAGUGAAAUGCGUAGAUAUCGAGAGGAACACCAGUGGCGAAGGCGAGUCUCUGGACGACUCCUGACACUGAGGCACGAAAGCUAGGGGAGCAAACAGG